GUGCUCACUUCAGCAGCACGUAUACUAAAAUUGGAAUGCUACAGAGAAGAUUAACAUGGCCCCUGAGUAAGGAUGACACACAAAUUCAUGAAACGUUCCAUAUUUUU
This 107-nucleotide small nuclear RNA is filed under the name Phascolarctos cinereus (koala). The record is from RNAcentral. Lineage: Eukaryota; Metazoa; Chordata; Mammalia; Diprotodontia; Phascolarctidae.